Molecule: transfer RNA, 76 nt
Filed under: Cordylochernes scorpioides
Lineage: Eukaryota; Metazoa; Arthropoda; Arachnida; Pseudoscorpiones; Chernetidae
Description: tRNA-Thr
Source: RNAcentral
AGUGUCAAGGGAUGGGAAUCGAACCCACUACCUUCCGCUUACCGGGCAGAUGCCAUGACCACUAGGCCACAUGACC